RNAcentral lists this ribosomal RNA (706 nucleotides) under uncultured bacterium. Its description in RNAcentral is "bacterial SSU rRNA". It matches the Rfam family "Bacterial small subunit ribosomal RNA", at positions 8 to 709 of the family's 1533-position model. The record is from RNAcentral.
AGAGUUUGAUCAUGGCUCAGAUUGAACGCUGGCGGUAGGCUUAACACAUGCAAGUCGUGCGAGAAAGUAUCUUCGGAUAUGAGUAGAGCGGCGGACGGGUGAGUAACGCGUAGGAAUCUACCUAGUAGAAGGGGAUAGCCCGGGGAAACCCGGAUUAAUACCGUAUACCUCCUUCGGGAGAAAGAAGGCCUCUCUUUGAAGCUUUCGCUAUUAGAUGAGCCUGCGUAAGAUUAGCUUGUUGGUGAGGUAAAGGCUCACCAAGGCGACGAUCUUUAGCUGGUCUGAGAGGACGAUCAGCCACAUUGGGACUGAGACACGGCCCAGACUCCUACGGGAGGCAGCAGUGGGGAAUAUUGGACAAUGGGCGCAAGCCUGAUCCAGCCAUACCGCGUGUGUGAAGAAGGCCUUCGGGUUGUAAAGCACUUUAAGCAGGGAGAAAAAGUUAUAAGUUAAUACCUUAUAACCGUGAUGUUACCUGCAGAAUAAGCACCGGCUAAUUCCGUGCCAGCAGCCGCGGUAAUACGGAAGGUGCAAGCGUUAAUCGGAAUUACUGGGCGUAAAGCGCGCGUAGGUGGUUUGUUAAGUUGGAUGUGAAAGCCCUGGGCUCAACCUAGGAACUGCAUCCAAAACUAACUCACUAGAGUACGAUAGAGGGAGGUAGAAUUCAUAGUGUAGCGGUGGAAUGCGUAGAUAUUAUGAAGAAUAC